CGUAGGCGGUUUUGCAAGCCAGAGGUGAAAUGCCUGAGCUUAACUUAGGAAUUGCCUUUGGGACUGCGAGGCUUUGAGGACGAGAGAGGUGAGUGGAAUUCCCAGUGUAGAGGUGAAAUUCGUAGAUAUUGGGAAGAACACCGGUGGCGAAGGCGGCUCACUGGCUCGUUUCUGACGCUGUAGCGCGAAAGCGUGGGGAUCAAACA
This 206-nucleotide ribosomal RNA is filed under the name uncultured bacterium. Its description in RNAcentral is "partial 16S ribosomal RNA". It matches the Rfam family "Bacterial small subunit ribosomal RNA", at positions 570 to 774 of the family's 1533-position model. The record is from RNAcentral.